This 241-nucleotide ribosomal RNA is filed under the name Bacillus sp. 325B_11C. RNAcentral describes it as "partial 16S ribosomal RNA". It matches the Rfam family "Bacterial small subunit ribosomal RNA", at positions 129 to 357 of the family's 1533-position model. Lineage: Bacteria; Bacillati; Bacillota; Bacilli; Caryophanales; Bacillaceae. The record is from RNAcentral.
CCUGUAAGACUGGGAUAACUCCGGGAAACCGGGGCUAAUACCGGAUGCUUGUUUGAACCGCAUGGUUCAAACAUAAAAGGUGGCUUCGGCUACCACUUACAGAUGGACCCGCGGCGCAUUAGCUAGUUGGUGAGGUAACGGCUCACCAAGGCAACGAUGCGUAGCCGACCUGAGAGGGUGAUCGGCCACACUGGGACUGAGACACGGCCCAGACUCCUACGGGAGGCAGCAGUGGUCAUAG